AACCUGCGGAAGUCAUUA
This 18-nucleotide ribosomal RNA is filed under the name Gymnopus dysodes. Its description in RNAcentral is "partial 18S ribosomal RNA". Lineage: Eukaryota; Fungi; Basidiomycota; Agaricomycetes; Agaricales; Omphalotaceae. The record is from RNAcentral.